This 322-nucleotide ribosomal RNA is filed under the name Foraminifera sp. RNAcentral describes it as "SSU rRNA". The record is from RNAcentral. Lineage: Eukaryota; Foraminifera.
AGUUCGUGGAGUGAUCUGUCUGCUUAAUUGCGUUUCAUAACGAUUUAAAACACUAUGUUUUAACGUUUGCUGUUCACCAUUUGACCUUCGCGUUACAUUGGUUUGAACGCACGUAGCAUGGUUAAAAACAAUCGGAAAGCAACGAACGUGACCGCAACCUCUUAUUGCCCUUAUUUUUUAAAAGCACGCUUGCUGGUCUAAUUUUUACUUUCGGGUAAUUUUUAGGCUAUGUCUUAAAGUGUGUUGAAAAGGGCUUUAAAAUUAGAGGGACCGCUGUUCUAUUUUCUUUAAACCAGAGGAAGAUUGCGGCAAUAACAGGUCU